AUUUAUCCUGCAUGGCAAUGCGUUAUAGUCUGUUUUAAGGAAUCUUUUGUGCUUCUGUGCAUAUUCCUACUGCAGGCAAAGUGCUUGAGGAAGGAGCCUGUGCAGGCAGUCGGUAGUGUAGUAGCUGGCUCACGCGUAUGGAUUAGACUCGUGAGGUCAGAGGAGCUGUGUGCUGCUCUGUGCUGGUGUGGGGGGGAAGAGUGGAUUUUUCUACCCAAGUGAGUAGCGAUUCAGGCAGAAUCAUCCCUCAGCUCUUGUAAUUCUGAUGUGUUUUGAUGUGAAAGCUGCUACUGUCUAAGAUACGUGGAUCUUCUGACAUUUGUAGUGGACUGAGGAAUGCUUUUACUUGCUGCUGAGCCUGACUAUAACUGUAUCACUGUAGGACAGUAACGAUGGGGGCUCGAGCAACGGAAACAACUCGGGAACUGGAAAGCACCUCUGUAAAGUAUCAAAUAGGAGGACAUGCAGAGAAAAUGUGGCAGCGGCUCAAAGGAAUAAUCAGCAUUGCCGGAGCUGUUCCAUCAUUCCUGCCAAUAUAUGUGGAAUCAAAGUCUUCUGAAAACACAUCUCAAGCUGGAGAUACUAUUAAACUACA
Molecule: long non-coding RNA, 595 nt
Filed under: Phasianus colchicus (ring-necked pheasant)
Lineage: Eukaryota; Metazoa; Chordata; Aves; Galliformes; Phasianidae
Description: lncRNA (ENSPCLG00000012594.1)
Source: RNAcentral